UAAUAUUCCGCUCUUUUAGUGCUCUGGAACGUCACUAUUAACUAUAUUGAAAGACCCCCCCCCGUCGUUAACUAAUUAACUGCUCUUUUGUUGUGUAAAAGUACCCCUCCUCCCCUUGCAAUGAAAAGACCCUUCCCCCAGGGUUGAAUUCAAUGUAACUGCUCUUUUGCCUUUCUGUAACCGCUUGGCUUUUAGGGCAUGACACUUGACUCCUGUUUGAACAAGAUACCCUCUCCUAAUAGCCGGGGCAUGGUCACGUAGGCAAGGGGGCUGCAUGGUCACAUAGGUCACGAAGGCAAGGGGGCUGCAUGGUCACAUAGGUCACGUAGACAGGAUGCCUUCUGCCUUUCCCCUCUUUGUUUCCCCUUCCCGCCUUUCUCUUCGCGCGAGGGGGGUCUUCCAGGGCCAAUCCACUAACACCAAGUAUGCCUUUUUCAAAAGUUCAAACUGUCCACCAAUCAGUUGCGCCCCACCCAAAACUUGUUUGUACCUUCCUAUAAAAGACCCCGCUUCACUCCGGUCGGUGUGCUCGGUUAGCUGGAGCUGCCGACCACCCACCGGUACCUGCGUGACAAUAAACCUCUUGCUGUUUGCAUCCAGUGGCAGUGUUGGAUUCUUGGAAUCCCGCCGAAUCAAUUACUCAAAAGUCAGUGUGCCAUUUCCAUCGGGCUUCUCUGUAAAAUCUCCAGCCUUCACUGGGACGCAUCCUCUCCUCCCCAGAGCUUGGGAGCCUUGUGGAAGCUGCCUCCUAACUAUCCGUUCUGGGUAA
RNAcentral lists this long non-coding RNA (769 nucleotides) under Mustela putorius furo (domestic ferret). RNAcentral's name for it is "lncRNA (ENSMPUG00000027233.1)". Lineage: Eukaryota; Metazoa; Chordata; Mammalia; Carnivora; Mustelidae. The record is from RNAcentral.